GGGAUUCCCUUAGUAACGGCGAGCGAACAGGGAAGAGUCCAGCGCCGAAUUCCGCGCUCUUUGCGGGCGUCGGAAAAUGUGGCGUUUAGGAGGGAGCGUGCCGGGAGUCUGACCUUGCAGCAAGUCCCCCUGACCGGGGCAGUUACCCAGAGUGGGUGCGAGGCCCAUAGCUGCUCGGUCUCUCCCGGAUGCGACCUCUUGGGAGUCGGGUUGCUUGGGAGUGCAACCCCAAUCGGGUGGUAAACUCCACCUAAGACUAAAUACGGCCGUGAGACCGAUAGCAAACAAGUACCGUGAGGGAAAGUUGCAAAGAACUUUGAAGAGAGAGUUCAAGAGUACGUGAAACUGCUCAGAGGCAAACGGGUGGGCCCUCGAAAUCCGUCGGCGGGGGAUUCAGUCGGGAGGUGCGGGCUCGUGCGCCGGUCGGUAAAUCGGACCCAUAGCUGGGCCGGGCCGGCGCCGCAGUCUCCGCACGACCCGACGCACUUCCUCCCGCCCCAAGGACGCCGCAGCCGGUUGGGUAGCUGCGCGAGUCGGCCAUAAGGACGGGCACCGGAAGGUGGCCAGUGGCGAACUAGUUUCCGUUGCUGGUCGUUAUCCAGCCCGCCCGUGGCGCGACACCCGACCGAGGUCUAUCAGGUCCAGGUUAGGACCUUGCCGUCCCCUCCCCCGUGGUCGAGCGGGCGCGCCGGCAGGCGAUUCCCCUUGCGGCCGUCCCACUCUUAGUAGUGGCCGGCCCUCGGGUGGCGCCGUUGGCGAGGAUGCGUCCCGCGCGGGGUUCGGAAGGCUUGCGGCGAGUAGGUCGGUCACCCACCCGACCCGUCUUGAAACACGGACCAAGGAGUCUAACAUGUGCGCGAGUCACGGGGUCUUGUUCAGGCCCAGAGGCGCAAUGAAAGUGAAGGCCGUCUAACAGCGGCCGUGUUGGGACUCUCCGCGCCCGCCGCGGGGAAGCACCAACGACCCGCCCUGUCCGAUUCAUCGGUUGGGCGGAGUGUGAGCGUACACGUUGGGACCCGAAAGAUGGUGAACUAUGCCUGGGCAGGACGAAGCCAGAGGAAACUCUGGUGGAGGUCCGUAGCGGUUCUGACGUGCAAAUCGAUCGUCAGACCUGGGUAUAGGGGCGAAAGACUAAUCGAACCA
Molecule: ribosomal RNA, 1143 nt
Filed under: Brachythele sp. MY4359
Lineage: Eukaryota; Metazoa; Arthropoda; Arachnida; Araneae; Nemesiidae
Description: eukaryotic LSU rRNA
Rfam family: Eukaryotic large subunit ribosomal RNA
Source: RNAcentral